UCCAUGGCGGCGUGCUUACACAUGCAGUCGAACGGUGAAGCAGGAGCUUGCUCUUGUGGAUCAGUGGCGAACGGGUGAGUAACACGUGAGCAACCUGCCCCGGACUCUGGGAUAAGCGCUGGAAACGGCGUCUAAUACUGGAUAUGAGACGUGACCGCAUGGUCAACGUUUGGAAAGAUUUUUCGGUCUGGGAUGGGCUCGCGGCCUAUCAGCUUGUUGGUGAGGUAAUGGCUCACCAAGGCGUCGACGGGUAGCCGGCCUGAGAGGGUGACCGGCCACACUGGGACUGAGACACGGCCCAGACUCCUACGGGAGGCAGCAGUGGGGAAUAUUGCACAAUGGGCGAAAGCCUGAUGCAGCAACGCCGCGUGAGGGAUGACGGCCUUCGGGUUGUAAACCUCUUUUAGCAGGGAAGAAGCGAGAGUGACGGUACCUGCAGAAAAAGCGCCGGCUAACUACGUGCCAGCAGCCGCGGUAAUACGUAGGGCGCAAGCGUUAUCCGGAAUUAUUGGGCGUAAAGAGCUCGUAGGCGGUCUGUCGCGUCUGCUGUGAAAUCUGGAGGCUCAACCUCCAGCCUGCAGUGGGUACGGGCAGACUAGAGUGCGGUAGGGGAGAUUGGAAUUCCUGGUGUAGCGGUGGAAUGCGCAGAUAUCAGGAGGAACACCGAUGGCGAAGGCAGAUCUCUGGGCCGUAACUGACGCUGAGGAGCGAAAGGGUGGGGAGCAAACAGGCUUAGAUACCCUGGUAGUCCACCCCGUAAACGUUGGGAACUAGUUGUGGGGUCCUUUCCACGGAUUCCGUGACGCAGCUAACGCAUUAAGUUCCCCGCCUGGGGAGUACGGCCGCAAGGCUAAAACUCAAAGGAAUUGACGGGGACCCGCACAAGCGGCGGAGCAUGCGGAUUAAUUCGAUGCAACGCGAAGAACCUUACCAAGGC
RNAcentral lists this ribosomal RNA (937 nucleotides) under Microbacterium sp. HBUM178368. RNAcentral's name for it is "bacterial SSU rRNA". It matches the Rfam family "Bacterial small subunit ribosomal RNA", at positions 33 to 980 of the family's 1533-position model. Lineage: Bacteria; Bacillati; Actinomycetota; Actinomycetes; Micrococcales; Microbacteriaceae. The record is from RNAcentral.